This 500-nucleotide ribosomal RNA is filed under the name uncultured bacterium. Its description in RNAcentral is "partial 16S ribosomal RNA". It matches the Rfam family "Bacterial small subunit ribosomal RNA", at positions 30 to 523 of the family's 1533-position model. The record is from RNAcentral.
AUUGAACGCUGGCGGAAUGCUUUACACAUGCAAGUCGAACGGCAGCACGGACUUCGGUCUGGUGGCGAGUGGCGAACGGGUGAGUAAUAUAUCGGAACGUGCCCAGUCGUGGGGGAUAACGUAACGAAAGCUACGCUAAUACCGCAUACGAUCUACGGAUGAAAGCGGGGGAUCGCAAGACCUCGCGCGAUUGGAGCGGCCGAUAUCAGAUUAGGUAGUUGGUGAGGUAAAGGCUCACCAAGCCGACGAUCUGUAGCUGGUCUGAGAGGACGACCAGCCACACUGGGACUGAGACACGGCCCAGACCCCUACGGGAGGCAGCAGUGGGGAAUUUUGGACAAUGGACGCAAGUCUGAUCCAGCCAUUCCGCGUGCAGGACGAAGGCCUUCGGGUUGUAAACUGCUUUUGUACAGAACGAAAAGGUCUCUAUUAAUACUAGGGGCUCAUGACGGUACUGUAAGAAUAAGCACCGGCUAACUACGUGCCAGCCGCCGCUGUAA